This 1664-nucleotide small RNA is filed under the name Pan troglodytes (chimpanzee). RNAcentral describes it as "retained intron". Lineage: Eukaryota; Metazoa; Chordata; Mammalia; Primates; Hominidae. The record is from RNAcentral.
UCAAGCCAUGCACAAGUAGGUUUCCUGCCAGCAUCCCCUCCCCACUUCUCUUCCUAUGACCAUCCCUCUUAAUUCCCUUCUGUCUCUCCUCAGCGGCCCGCCUAAGUCCAGUGCCUCCCAAGCAGGGGCUGCAGCGGGGCAGGGAGCCCCCGCCCCUGCCCCCGCCUCCCAAGAGCCCCUUCCCAUAGCUGGACCAGGUGGGACAGGGAUUUUGGGAGGAGGAUGGGGCCUGUGUUGGUGAGGGCUGGUUGGGAGAGAGGGACACAGAGGGGAUGCCUGUCUCACCUGCCCCUGUCGCUGUGUCCCUGGUUCCGGCCCCAGCGACAGCACCUGCUCCACGGCCACUUGGCUCCAUUCAGAGACCAAACAGCUUCCUCUUCCGUUCCUCCUCUCAGAGUGGCUCAGGUGGGUGUCCUGCCCUCCCCAGUGCUGACCCAGUGCUUGCCAGCACCAACUGCUACAUCACCCUUCUGCCCUGGGAGCCCUCUGGGUCUGUUGUACCUUUGCGUUGAAAAUCCCACAAGCAAGCCGGGUGUGGUGGCUCACACCUGUAAUCGCAGCACUUUAGGAGGCCCAGGUGGGAGGAUCGCUUGAGCCCAGGAAUUCAAGACCAGCCUGGGCAACAUAGCGAGACCCCAUCUCCAUGAAAUAAAAAAAAAUCCCACAAGCAGAGAGGCAGGAGGUGUAGGUGCCAGGCCACUGGGACCCAGCUACAGAGUCAGUGGUGAGCAGUGGAGGCAGCCCCAUGCCCCCCUUUUUCUCCUAGGCCCUUCCUCACCAGACUCUGUCCUGAGACCUCGGCGGUACCCCCAGGUUCCAGAUGAGAAGGACUUAAUGACUCAGCUGCGCCAGGUCCUUGAGUCCCGGCUGCAGCGGCCCCUGCCUGAGGACCUGGCCGAGGCUCUGGCCAGUGGGGUCAUCCUGUGCCAGCUGGCCAACCAGCUACGGCCGCGCUCCGUGCCCUUCAUCCAUGUGCCCUCCCCUGCUGUGCCAAAACUCAGUGCCCUCAAGGCUCGGAAGAAUGUGGAGAGUUUUCUAGAAGCCUGUCGAAAAAUGGGGGUGCCUGAGGCUGACCUGUGCUCGCCCUCGGAUCUCCUCCAGGGCACUGCCCGGGGGCUGCGGACCGCGCUGGAGGCCGUGAAGCGGGUGGGGGGCAAGGCCUUACCGCCCCUCUGGCCCCCCUCUGGUCUGGGCGGCUUCGUCGUCUUCUACGUGGUCCUCAUGCUGCUGCUCUAUGUCACCUACACUCGGCUCCUGGGUUCCUAGGCCCCAAAAUCGGCCCUCCCUCACCCCUUUCCCUUCCUCUCUAUUUAUAAGGUCCCUGCUCCACCCGACCCCACCUGCGGUGCCUUCAGCCCCAACCAAAGACACUAGUGCACCCCCUUCACAGACACUGACCUCAGAGGCCCCACUCUGGUGCCCCCAGACCCUGGGCCCCCAGCCUCUGGCCUCCCUCCAGUAGCCCCACGAGUCCCCACCUCUCAGUGCUGACGGUGCCUUCAUGUCCCCGCCGGCCCUGCCCCUGCCCUCUGUACCCCGUGAGGGGUGGCAGGAGCUGGAGUCUCCCCCUUCCUCCUGUGCCCUCCCCUUCCCCCCCCAACAGCUGCUAUGGGGGGGCUAAAUUAUCUCUAUUUUGUAGAGAGGAUCUAUAUUUGUAGGGGUUC